AACGAACGCUGGCGGCAGGCCUAACACAUGCAAGUCGAGCGAGAUCUUCGGGUCUAGCGGCGGACGGGUGGGUAACGCGUGGGAAUAUGCCUCUUGGUACGGAAUAGCCUCGGGAAACUGGGAGUAAUACCGUAUGUGCCCUUUGGGGGAAAGAUUUAUCGCCAAGAGAUUAGCCCGCGUUGGAUUAGGUAGUUGGUGGGGUAAUGGCCUACCAAGCCGACGAUCCAUAGCUGGUUUGAGAGGAUGAUCAGCCACACUGGGACUGAGACACGGCCCAGACUCCUACGGGAGGCAGCAGUGGGGAAUCUUAGACAAUGGGGGUAACCCUGAUCUAGCCAUGCCGCGUGAGUGAUGAAGGCCUUAGGGUUGUAAAGCUCUUUCAGCUGGGAAGAUAAUGACGGUACCAGCAGAAGAAGCCCCGGCUAACUCCGUG
Molecule: ribosomal RNA, 433 nt
Filed under: uncultured bacterium
Lineage: Bacteria
Description: partial 16S ribosomal RNA
Rfam family: Bacterial small subunit ribosomal RNA
Source: RNAcentral